AGAGAAGCUAAUUGAAUUGGGCACGAGAAACAUAAAGGUAAAAGAUAAGAAUCCUAAACUAACAAGACUGGAAAUUAAAUUGGCAAAAGAGUAAAUUGAAAUAAUAACAAUGAAGAGUGUAGAAAGAAACACAUCAAACAGAGAAAUUUUAUUGAAAGCUGAAAUCAAAAUACAAGAUACCAGAAAUCACCGAAAAUCACGGCCUGUCACCCUCGCAACUCGAUGAAAUCCAAAAUCGAAGAAUAGUGUAUCUACUCUACGAAAGCUGAUAAAUUCUAAAACUAAGGCGAGAGAAUUUGAAAAUCUAAACUAAGCACAUCGUCUGUCACCAGUGCACGUACCUAUUCUAUUUUACAAAACUCCUUUAUAUAGGAGAAAACAAAAACAAAAAAGAUGAAAAGAGGGGGAAAGGGGAAAGAAUCUGAAACAAACUUGGAAGCUUCUUGAAUAUCCUUCAACUGACUCUGACCAGGUUCUCAAACCGUUCAAGCUUAGUACGUGCUUCCAACCUCCAUUCUGAUCGAUCAACAUCUUGGGUUGUUCCCCUUUUUGGGCUGUCGUUCUUUGGAUUUGCUUCAUCGGACUGAUCCCCUCUUGCUGGACCACGAACCCUAGAUUGAGAGUUUAGAGAAUUUGGGGAAAAUCUUCUUUGUGAGCCCUAGCUCCAAUUGCUUCUAAUUUGGAGAAAUGAAACCCUCUUCAUGGGUAUACUCCUUCAGUAAACACACAACUGCUUGAACGCAGCGUUUCAUUAAUCUGCUACCCAAAAUGGCUUUAAUCCAUAAGCGCUGGCCAUAUUACUUUGGCCCAUUUUAGCACCAACCUUGGCCAGAUUUGUGGCCCCCUUGGAUCAGGUUUAAUACUGCAAAAAGAAAUAUAGAAAAAAAAAAUAAACAACAAAAAAAAAACUAAAAGUCUAUAACAACAAAAGAAAGUUUUAUUUUCAUUCUCAAAAUAUUUGUUUCUAAAAAAGAAAAAUAUCUAUUUAUUUAAAAACCUAUUUUAUUAAACUAAAAAGGCAAAAUUAACACUAUUUUAACAAAACUCUAAAAUUAAAGAAAAAAUACUAAACUAAUCUAAUUCUAGAAAAUUAGAAACUAAAAGAAACUAAAAAUCCAUUCUAAAAAGAGGAAAAAUAGGUAAAAAUUGGGAGUUAUCAAACCCCCACACUUAAGGAACUGCCCUCCUGGGCAGGGAAGACUAAGACUGGAAAUUAAAUUGGCAAAAGAGUAAAUUGAAACAAUAACAAUGAAGAAUGUAGAAAGAAACACAUCAAACAGAGAAAUUUUAUUGAAAGCUGAAAUCAAAAUACAAGAUACCAGAAAUCACCGAAAAUCACGGUCUGUCACCCUCGCAACUCGAUGAAAUCCAAAAUCGAAGAACAGUGUAUCUACUCUACGAAAGCUGAUAAAUUCUAAAACUAAGGCGAGAGAAUUUGAAAAUAUAGAGAGAGCAAAGUGUAGAGCAUACUGCCGGUCACCCAGUGCACAUACUCUAUUCAUUACAAAAAACCCCCUUUUUAUAGGGAAAAUCCAAAGAACGAAAAAGAAAAGAAAAUGGGAAAGGGGAAAGAAUCUGAAACUGACUCUCGAAGCUUCUUGAGCACUUUUCCAACUAACUUUCUUGAACCACUUUGAUCCUCAAUCGUCGACUGCUUCGCAUGUGCCCUCGACAUCCAUUCUGACCGAUCAAGCUUCUGAUCUGAUUUAAUUUCUGGGCUAGCUUCCUCUUGGGCUUGGAGCUCGCUUCAGUCCUCGUCGCCGCAGUUCUUCACCGUGCUGGAACCCUAGCUCUUGGGUUGAAAAUUGGGGAAAAGCCUUCAGUCUGAUUUGAUCUCCUUUGCCCAAAUGAAUAUGGUCGAUCCUUACCCCCAAAGACUGUAGUAGCGUUACAAAAUGCACCGUUUCAUUAAAACGUCUCAAGGGCUUCAACAAUCAACAACCCAAUUCCAUAUCAGCAGCC
This 1962-nucleotide long non-coding RNA is filed under the name Vigna radiata. RNAcentral's name for it is "long non-coding RNA (VRAD_LNC016791)". Lineage: Eukaryota; Viridiplantae; Streptophyta; Magnoliopsida; Fabales; Fabaceae. The record is from RNAcentral.